AAGCCAAAAGCACGAGGAAUUAGAUACUGCUAUUCCUAUGCUUGCUUGCUUUCUUCUUUCUUCAAUCAAAUGCAUUGGCAUCGAAAGCAGCUGGUUUUGAAGCCAGUUGGAGUAUAGAUCCAUGUAGUCCUCUUGGACCUCAAAACUGGGGCACGCUGCCUGGAUAUUCAUGGGCAAUGUGUGCUUCAAGACCUGAAGGAAUGCAAUCGCCCAUAAGCGUCAAACCCAGCAACAUCUACAACAGACACUUGGGGAGGUUGAUCAGAUCUUACACCGAGGCCCCUGCGCUUCUGUUGAACAAGGGGCAUGAAAUCAGCAAGAAAAAAAAACUUGAUUUUUUAACAUUUUCUUCAAUUUAUCAUAAAUUUUAGAAGAUUGUGCUAGUUUUUGAAAUUGUUGGAAUUUUUUUCAGGUUAAUUGGACAAAAUUGCCCGGCGCUCUUCUUCUAAAUGACAAGUUCUUUUAUCUCAGGCAGUAUCAUUGGCACACACCUUCUAAGCAUGAGCUCUUUGGCAAAAGAUACCCUUUGGAACUUCACAUGGUUCACAUCGCUUCAGAUUCAACCCCAGAAAUAACAGUCAUCGGUGCGUUGUUUGAGUACGGUGGCAUAGCCGAUCCUUUCCUGGACAUGUUGCGGGUGGCCCUGAAUGAGCUGAAGAACAUGACUAGUGUUGAUGUUGGAGCCAUAAGCCCACCUGUCGUAGGUGACGAAGAAUCUUAUUUUAGAUACAAUGGAUCUUUGACAACUCAUCCUUGCAAUGAGCCUGUUAUUUGAUGGACUGUGAUGAAAGAGGUCAGAAGUGUAAGGAGGAGCAAGUUGAGCUACUAAGGGCUCCAGUGAAUCAUACGGACAAUGCAAGGCCGACACAGCUAGUAAACGGACGCAAAGCGAGCUCUUGAUCCGUGAGGAGACUAGGAGAUCGUUUGGACGUUCCUAAUCCGCUGACACUGAGAGCGGACGCACCGAUAAAUCAGCAUCAAUCACAGAUCCAAGUGAGUGAUGAAGGGCACCGUCAU
Long non-coding RNA from Zingiber officinale, 1017 nucleotides. RefSeq lists it as uncharacterized. The transcript has 7 exons. The record is from RefSeq and is a predicted model, not a curated record. NCBI's taxonomy places the organism in Eukaryota, Viridiplantae, Streptophyta, Magnoliopsida, Zingiberales, Zingiberaceae.